UACGUAGGGGGCAAGCGUUGUUCGGAAUUACUGGGCGUAAAGGGCGCGUAGGCGGCCCAGCAAGUCGGGCGUGAAAGCCCGGGGCUCAACCCCGGAAUGGCUUUCGAAACUGCUGAGCUAGAGUACAGAAGGGGCAACCGGAAUUCCCAGUGUAGCGGUGAAAUGCGUAGAUAUUGGGAAGAACACCUGAGGCGAAGGCGGGUUGCUGGGCUGAUACUGACGCUGAGGCGCGAAAGCGUGGGGAGCAAACAGG
Molecule: ribosomal RNA, 253 nt
Filed under: uncultured bacterium
Lineage: Bacteria
Description: partial 16S ribosomal RNA
Rfam family: Bacterial small subunit ribosomal RNA
Source: RNAcentral